RNAcentral lists this ribosomal RNA (461 nucleotides) under uncultured bacterium. RNAcentral describes it as "partial 16S ribosomal RNA". It matches the Rfam family "Bacterial small subunit ribosomal RNA", at positions 28 to 507 of the family's 1533-position model. The record is from RNAcentral.
GACGAACGCUGGCGGCGUGCUUAACACAUGCAAGUCGAACGGUAAGGCCUUUCGGGGUACACGAGUGGCGAACGGGUGAGUAACACGUGGGUGAUCUGCCCUGCACUUCGGGAUAAGCCCGGGAAACUGGGUCUAAUACCGGAUAGGACUGCGCGGUGCAUGCCGUGUGGUGGAAAGAUUUAUCGGUGCAGGAUGGGCCCGCGGCCUAUCAGCUUGUUGUGGGGUAAUGGCCUACCAAGGCGACGACGGGUAGCCGGCCUGAGAGGGCGACCGGCCACACUGGGACUGAGACACGGCCCAGACUCCUACGGGAGGCAGCAGUGGGGAAUAUUGCACAAUGGGCGCAAGCCUGAUGCAGCGACGCCGCGUGAGGGAUGACGGCCUUCGGGUUGUAAACCUCUUUCAGCAGGGACGAAGCGUGAGUGACGGUACCUGCAGAAGAAGCACCGGCCAACUACGUG